CCAUAAACCAAUCUCUUCUGAAAUAGGAGUGGUCACUGGGCAUUAGUCAGAUAUUCAAAUGAGCAAAGAUUCAAGAGAAAAAAAAAUGUCCUGCAUUAUUUGAAAAGGAAGGAAAAGAUCCAGAGAAGAAAACCGGCCUGACUCUGAGAGAAGGGCCUGAAAGGGAGAGGAAGGGAGGAGGUGGUCAGAUUCUGGGUCUGGAGCAGGGAGGGAGGGAGCUGCUGGUGCAGGAAUGACUGUCAGAGACACAUCCUGGAGGCCACAAGUCCACCUUCUCAACUAUUCCCAGUAAUUACAAAAACUCCUUUAAAGGAGCAAAUGCAGGAGAAGGAGGAGCCAUGCUAGAGGAGACCCUGAGAAUGGGGGAAGGAUUACAGGCUGUGACCUCAUUGGCACAGUCCUCUCAGUAGCGGUGGAAACCACAGCCUAGUCUUCUCACCACUGCAGACCAGAAUCCUCCCUGGGCCUUGCCUGGUCUGCCUGACUCUGCCAUGGGCUGCAGGCUCCUCUGCUGUGUGGCCCUCUGCCUCCUGAGAGCAGGUCCCUCGGACUCAGCCGUUUCCCAGACUCCAAAAUACCUGGUCACGCAGAUAGGAAAGGAGGAGUCCCUUAAAUGUAACCAAAAUCUGGGCCAUAAUACUAUGUAUUGGUAUAAACAGGACUCUAAAAAACUUCUGAAGAUAAUGUUUAUCUACAAUAAUAAGGAGCCCAUUUUAAAUGAAACAGUUCCAAAUCGCUUCUUGCCUGAGUCUCCAGACAAAACUCAUUUAAAUCUUCACAUCAAGUCCCUGGAGCUUGGUGACUCUGCUGUGUAUUUCUGUGCCAGCAGCCAAGACACAGCCCUGCAGAGUCACUGCAUCCCUGUACACAAACCUCCCAGCUCAGCCAGGAAGCUGUGGGGCAGUGUGUGCCCCUGCACCCAGGGCUCCAGUCUCCAUUCCCUGAUGGCCUCUGAUGGAGUUUCAGUCUGUAGUGCAGCCUGCCAGUGCACCUGUUGUGGCAAUUUUCCAUUUUAUGUACACAGAACUCUCUCAGAAUUCUAUUUAUCAGCUAAAGCAGGUGUUCAUGACAAAAUCAGCAAUGUAUCAGGGGUCAACUAACAAAACAGAAGCCUGUCCCAUGCCCUGAAGAUCUUAACUGAUGGGAAAAGCCAUUUCUUGUCUUUGUCUGCUGUACAUAUGGGUAUAUAUUUUCCGUAAUGUUAUGAUUAUAAACACGCUGUUGUUAAAAAUGGUUGAUGAGCAUAAGCAUAAAGGAGAGGGGAAGGAAAAUAUUUCUAAGAUCAAGAGACAAUUUGGAUUAACAGUUCAUGCCACCCCAAAAUCGAGCUCCCUUUCACUUGGAGUAGGACCAAGUGAAAUUUCUUUUUUAACGGAAAAAUAUUUGCAGAGGCAUGAAAUUCUAUGGCAGUAAAUAAACUGGAAAGAAAAUGUCAGAAGCCAGUGGAGGCAGCCUUGUGCACUGUAGACUCCUUCUCUUCAAGAAGAGUGACCAGCAGGAAUCUCUCCCAGUUCUGAUGAAUGUCAUCUUGAACUUUCCUCAAGAGGAGGUGACAGCCGGAUGCCUGGGGAUAUUGGGAGACAUGGAAAGGACUUUGGACACAAAUCUCUAGGCAGUGGUGAGCCGCUGGUCUUAUUCCAAGUGAAGCAACAUGAUGAAAUUGAUAUUUUGCUACAGUAACACUGGUAGUAGUGUGGAUCAGAAAGGAGAUGGAUUUUUGGGUGGCAAGAACAAUUAGGAGACUUCUAAAAUAUCCUGCAUGAGAGAUUAGAAAGGGUUCAUGUGAAGCAUUGUGAAUGACAUAGGUUUGAGGCUCUGGAUUAUGUUAUCUCUUAGAAAGAGUGUUGGGUUUUAUUCUGAGAAGGUUGAAUGCAGGACUUGCUAAGGUCUACUUCAGCUUUGCCCUCCCUCUUAGGGAGCCCCAGCAUGUAGUCCUCAUUGCUAGUGCAUGGCCUUUCCAGGUCUUAGUGGGAAUCAUUGUGAAUUCACUACAUCACUCCACUGUAACUGGGUCUGAAUGCCCUGUGUGUCUUCUGAAAUCUCUCCCCACGUCUUCAGCCUUCCAGAACUUGGUCUCUGCUCAGCCUUCUGGUCUCCCUUCCUCUGCAUCCACAAUUUAUGAUCUGGCCCAGGAAAAAAAA
Sapajus apella (tufted capuchin) is the source of this 2141-nucleotide non-coding RNA. The record is from the annotation of a RefSeq genome assembly. Lineage: Eukaryota; Metazoa; Chordata; Mammalia; Primates; Cebidae.